Molecule: ribosomal RNA, 3204 nt
Filed under: Rhodococcus erythropolis
Lineage: Bacteria; Bacillati; Actinomycetota; Actinomycetes; Mycobacteriales; Nocardiaceae
Also listed under: 1 other name
Description: 23S ribosomal RNA
Rfam family: Bacterial large subunit ribosomal RNA
Source: RNAcentral
UUGUAAGUAAUGAAGAGCGUACGGUGGAUGCCUUGGCACCAGGAGCCGAUGAAGGACGUAGGAGGCUGCGAUAAGCCUCGGGGAGCUGUCAACCGAGCUGUGAUCCGAGGAUGUCCGAAUGGGGAAACCCAGCACGAGUGAUGUCGUGUUACCCGCGCCUGAAUAUAUAGGGCGUGUGGAGGGAACGUGGGGAAGUGAAACAUCUCAGUACCCACAGGAAGAGAAAACAACCGUGAUUCCGUGAGUAGUGGCGAGCGAAAGCGGAAGAGGCUAAACCAUGUGCAUGUGAUACCCGGCAGGGGUUGUGUGCGUGGGGUUGUGGGGUUCAUUUUGUCAAUGCUGCCGUGUUGGCCAACAGUAAGAAAUCACUGGGUUAGUGGAAGUGGUCUGGAACGGCCUGUCGUAGAGGGUGAGAAUCCCGUACACGAAAACUUUGUGACUGUUGUAAUGGAAACCCAAGUAGCACCGGGCCCGUGAAAUCUGGUGUGAAUCUGUCGGGACCACCCGAUAAGCCUGAAUACUCCCUGGUGACCGAUAGCGGACUAGUACCGUGAGGGAAAGGUGAAAAGUACCCCGGGAGGGGAGUGAAAUAGUACCUGAAACCGUGCGCUUACAAUCCGUCAGAGCCUUCGAACAGACUUGUCUGUUGGGGGUGAUGGCGUGCCUUUUGAAGAAUGAGCCUGCGAGUUAGUGGCAUGUCGCGAGGUUAACCCGUGUGGGGUAGCCGUAGCGAAAGCGAGUCCGAAUAGGGCGAUCGUAGUGGCAUGCUCUAGACCCGAAGCGGAGUGAUCUACCCAUGGCCAGGUUGAAGCGACGGUAAGACGUCGUGGAGGACCGAACCCACUUAGGUUGAAAACUGAGGGGAUGAGUUGUGGGUAGGGGUGAAAGGCCAAUCAAACUCCGUGAUAGCUGGUUCUCCCCGAAAUGCAUUUAGGUGCAGCGUCGCGUGUUUCUCACCGGAGGUAGAGCUACUGGAUGGUCUAGGGGGCCCACAAGCUUACCGAAAUCAGCCAAACUCCGAAUGCCGGUGAGUGAGAGCGCGGCAGUGAGACUGCGGGCGAUAAGGUUCGUAGUCGAGAGGGAAACAGCCCAGAUCGCCAGCUAAGGUCCCUAAGCGUGUACUAAGUGGAAAAGGAUGUGGGGUCGCGAAGACAACCAGGAGGUUGGCUUAGAAGCAGCCACCCUUGAAAGAGUGCGUAAUAGCUCACUGGUCAAGUGAUCCUGCGCCGACAAUGUAGCGGGGCUCAAGUACACCACCGAAGCUGCGGCAUUCACNNNNNNNNNNNNNNNNNNNNNNNNNNNNNNNNNNNNNNNNNNNNNNNNNNNNNNNNNNNNNNNNNNNNNNNNNNNNNNNNNNNNNNNNNNNNNNNNNNNNGGCAGGUGUGUGGAUGGGUAGGGGAGCGUCGUGUGGCCAUGGAAGCGGCAGGGUGACCUAGCCGUGGAGGCCACACGAGUGAGAAUGCAGGCAUGAGUAGCGAAAGACGAGUGAGAAACUCGUCCGCCGAAUGACCAAGGGUUCCUGGGCCAGGUUAAUCCGCCCAGGGUGAGUCGGGACCUAAGACGAGGCCGACAGGCGUAGCCGAUGGACAACGGGUUGAUAUUCCCGUACCCGUGUGAACGCGCCCAUGGUGAAUCAGUGAUACUAACCAUCCUGAAGCCACGAGAAGACCUUCGGGUCUCGAGUUGGUGGAUGCAUGGGACCUGAUCUGGUAGUAGCCAAGCGAUGGGGUGACGCAGGAAGGUAGCUGAGCCAGUCAGUGGUAAUACUGGUGUAAGCGUGUAGGGCGUGACCUAGGCAAAUCCGGGUCGCAUACAAGCCUGAGACGUGAUGCGUAGCCGAUUGAGGCGAAUUCAGUGAUCCUAUGCUGCCGAGAAAAGCCUCUAGCGAGCUUUCACACGGCCCGUACCCCAAACCGACACAGGUGGUCAGGUAGAGAAUACUAAGGCGAUCGAGAUAACUAUGGUUAAGGAACUCGGCAAAAUGCCCCCGUAACUUCGGGAGAAGGGGGGCCCUGUCUGGUGACGACAUUUACUGUCUGAGCUGGGUGGGGCCGCAGAGACCAGUGAGAAGCGACUGUUUACUAAAAACACAGGUCCGUGCGAAGUCGUAAGACGAUGUAUACGGACUGACGCCUGCCCGGUGCUGGAAGGUUAAGAGGACCGGUUAGUUCUUCGGAGCGAAGCUGAGAAUUUAAGCCCCAGUAAACGGCGGUGGUAACUAUAACCAUCCUAAGGUAGCGAAAUUCCUUGUCGGGUAAGUUCCGACCUGCACGAAUGGCGUAACGACUUCUCAGCUGUCUCAACCGUAGACUCGGCGAAAUUGCAUUACGAGUAAAGAUGCUCGUUACGCGCGGCAGGACGAAAAGACCCCGGGACCUUCACUACAGCUUGGUAUUGGUGUUCGGUUCGGUUUGUGUAGGAUAGGUGGGAGACUGUGAAACGGUGACGCCAGUUAUCGUGGAGUCGUUGUUGAAAUACCACUCUGAUCGAAUUGGACCUCUAACCUCGGACCAUGAUCUGGUUCAGGGACAGUGCCUGGUGGGUAGUUUAACUGGGGCGGUUGCCUCCCAAAAUGUAACGGAGGCGCCCAAAGGUUCCCUCAGCCUGGUUGGCAAUCAGGUGUUGAGUGCAAGUGCACAAGGGAGCUUGACUGUGAGACUGACAGGUCGAGCAGGGACGAAAGUCGGGACUAGUGAUCCGGCACCGGCAAGUGGAAGCGGUGUCGCUCAACGGAUAAAAGGUACCCCGGGGAUAACAGGCUGAUCUUCCCCAAGAGUCCAUAUCGACGGGAUGGUUUGGCACCUCGAUGUCGGCUCGUCGCAUCCUGGGGCUGGAGUAGGUCCCAAGGGUUGGGCUGUUCGCCCAUUAAAGCGGCACGCGAGCUGGGUUUAGAACGUCGUGAGACAGUUCGGUCUCUAUCCGCCGCGCGCGUUAGAAACUUGAGGAAGGCUGUCCCUAGUACGAGAGGACCGGGACGGACGAACCUCUGGUGUGCCAGUUGUUCCGCCAGGAGCACCGCUGGUUAGCUACGUUCGGAAGGGAUAACCGCUGAAAGCAUCUAAGCGGGAAGCCUGUUCCAAGAUGAGGUUUCUCACCCCCUCGAGGGGGUAAGGCCCCCGGCAGACCACCGGGUUGAUAGGCCAGAACUGGAAGUCCGGUAACGGAUGCAGGUGACUGGUACUAAUAGGCCGAGGACUUACCACA